RNAcentral lists this ribosomal RNA (785 nucleotides) under Cteniopinus ruber. RNAcentral describes it as "12S ribosomal RNA". Lineage: Eukaryota; Metazoa; Arthropoda; Insecta; Coleoptera; Tenebrionidae. The record is from RNAcentral.
GGUUAGUCCGCCGCGAAUUUUUGAAAAAGUUUUAUUUUAGCUUGAAAAUUAGCUUUCUGAUUUGAGUAUAUGUGAGUUUUAGCAUUUAUGUUUUUUAUAAGUUUGGGUUGUUGCAGUAUUUAAAAUUAAUUUUUGUAUUGAUUUAUGAUUUAGGAAUUUAGUUUAGAUUAAACUUAAUUUGUGCCAGCAGUAGCGGUUAUACAGAUUAUUCAAGUUAAUUUUUUUAUGUUUAGUUAAAAGUUUAAUUGUAAUUUUAAUUUGAUUUUUUAAGGUGAAAUUUAAAGUUUAGUUAUGAGUUACAUUUUUGUUUUUGAAGCUGAGAAAAUUUUAUUUUAAACUAGGAUUAGAUACCCUAUUAUUUUUAUUGUUAUUUUAUACUUGAUUUAUUAAUAGUUAAGACCUUUAAAAUUAAAAAAUUUGGCGGUAUUUUAGUCUUUUCAGAGGAACCUGUUUUUUAAAUUGAUAAUCCACGAUUAAUAGUAUUUUAUUUUUAAAUUUGCAUAUCGUUGUUUACAAAAAUUUUAUUAGAACUUGAAUUUUUAUGAUUUUUAAUUAUGAAUUAUUUCAGAUCAAGGUGCAGUUUAUAUUAAAAUUAAAAUGGGUUACAUUGCUUUUAUGUUUGGUUUUAAUUGUUAAAAAUUUUAGAUAAAUUGGAUUUGAUAGUAAUUUCUUUUUAUUUGGGUUUUGAUUUAGCUCUAAAAUAUGCACAUAUCGCCCGUCGCUUUCACAUUAAUGUGGAAUAAGUCGUAACAAAGUAGGCUUAUUGGAAAAUGAGCCUAGAAUGA